Molecule: ribosomal RNA, 497 nt
Filed under: uncultured bacterium
Lineage: Bacteria
Description: partial 16S ribosomal RNA
Rfam family: Bacterial small subunit ribosomal RNA
Source: RNAcentral
GAUGAACGCUGGCGGCGUGCCUAAUACAUGCAAGUCGAGCGAACAGACGAGGAGCUUGCUCCUCUGACGUUAGCGGCGGACGGGUGAGUAACACGUGGAUAACCUACCUAUAAGACUGGGAUAACUUCGGGAAACCGGAGCUAAUACCGGAUAAUAUAUUGAACCGCAUGGUUCAAUAGUGAAAGACGGUUUUGCUGUAACUUAUAGAUGGAUCCGCGCCGCAUUAGCUGGUUGGUAAGUUAACGGCUUUCCAAGGCAACGAUGCGUAGACGACCUGAGAGGGGGAUAGGCGGCACUGGAACUGGGACACGGUCCAGACUACUACGGGAGGGAGCAGUAGGGAAUCUGCCGCAAUGGGCGAGAGCAUGACGGAGUAACGCCGCGUGAGUGAUGAAGGUCUUCGGAUCGGAAAGCUCUGUUAUGAGGGAAGAACAAAUGUGUAAGUAACUAUGCACGUAUUGACGGUACCUAGUCAGAAAGCAACGGCUAACUACGUG